Molecule: ribosomal RNA, 463 nt
Filed under: bacterium 1911-S5-05-1.1.2
Lineage: Bacteria
Description: bacterial SSU rRNA
Rfam family: Bacterial small subunit ribosomal RNA
Source: RNAcentral
CAAGUCGAACGGUAGCACAGAGAGCUUGCUCUCGGGUGACGAGUGGCGGACGGGUGAGUAAUGUCUGGGAAACUGCCUGAUGGAGGGGGAUAACUACUGGAAACGGUAGCUAAUACCGCAUAAUGUCGCAAGACCAAAGAGGGGGACCUUCGGGCCUCUUGCCAUCAGAUGUGCCCAGAUGGGAUUAGCUAGUAGGUGGGGUAACGGCUCACCUAGGCGACGAUCCCUAGCUGGUCUGAGAGGAUGACCAGCCACACUGGAACUGAGACACGGUCCAGACUCCUACGGGAGGCAGCAGUGGGGAAUAUUGCACAAUGGGCGCAAGCCUGAUGCAGCCAUGCCGCGUGUAUGAAGAAGGCCUUCGGGUUGUAAAGUACUUUCAGCGGGGAGGAAGGUGUUGUGGUUAAUAACCACAGCAAUUGACGUUACCCGCAGAAGAAGCACCGGCUAACUCCGUGCCAGC